This 1995-nucleotide long non-coding RNA is filed under the name Brassica napus (rape). RNAcentral describes it as "long non-coding RNA (BNAP_LNC004053)". Lineage: Eukaryota; Viridiplantae; Streptophyta; Magnoliopsida; Brassicales; Brassicaceae. The record is from RNAcentral.
AUAAGGGCUGCAUAGGAAGUACCAUACUAUAAUUAUCAAAAUAUGAUCUUUUAUUAGAUUAAAAAGAAUAAUUUCAAAUAGAUAAAAAAUAAUAAUUGGGUGAUGAUAAGUCACACACAAUACAAGUACCGAGUCAAAACAGAAACAUGUAACAAAACUUAUGAAGGAGGGAAGAAACGGUUGAGGUUAAAGGGGAGAGUGUAGAACUCCUUGCCAGAAACUCUAUCAGGUGUUUGAUCAGACCCAACAUGACAUAUCCUGCAGAUACUUUGCCCAUUAUCACUUUCUCCUCCACAACUACUCAAAUCCACCACGUGGAACUCCUCCGCCUUUUCCUUUGCUGAAGCAUCACUCUCUCUAAGAACAGAAGCUGAGACACGUGUUGAAGUAUCCUUCUCUACCUCAUGAACAACGUUACAGCAUCCAACACCAUCUUUGCCCAUUCUUGAAUCAUUUUCAUCUCGUUGUUGCCGUUUAGUCUCGCUUUGUUCAACCAACACAUGUUUUGAGACAGAGUCACUGGUUUCACCCUUGACAAGCACAGAUCCACUCGAACUUUCACAAACACUGAUCGAUCUCAAACAACUUUCCGGGUCCAUUUUUUUGCUCCAAAAAAGACAAAAGGGUUUUCAGUUCCCAGGUUCCUACAAAGUUCGAGAUCAAGUAUGACUGUAAUCAGACAAAGUGUGAACAGAAACAGCAUUGCCCUUAAACUGAAAACAAUGUAAAUUGCUCAAAAAAUCAAAACUUUACCAGAAUCCAGAUCCGCUUGAGAGAAAAGAGACGAACUUUAUGAACCAGAGGAACAAUAAAAUCUCAACAAAGGUUUCGUUUUGUUUCAGCUUUAUGCCUCAACGGAAGAAAAAUAAUAAAAAAAACUCGCAUCAGAGAUCCCUUGAGGGAAAACGUCGCUACAGUUACUCUAAUCAGCUACUCUUCGGUUGAAGUUUCUUCUUCUUUGCAAUUUGUCUGUCUGUCUGUUUCGGUAAGCACGAGCUAACAGAAGAUUUGGUUGGUACCCUUUUCUCUUAAAUAUAUAAUAAAUAAAUAAAUAAGCAUAAGUAAGUUUGGUGAAGAUGAUUUAUCAACUCUAAUUCUAUUUAAUUAAUUAGCAAAACCUUGUUGCCAAAAUAAAUACUAAAUAAAAUGGCUACUAUUAUAUUGUAAUCAUAUUCCUUCCUUUUUGUACUAAGCAUUGGUCAGACAAAUUUAAUAAGAAGUUAAUAAUAGAGAACACAUAUUUGUAUAACUUAACAAUUUAAGAUAUAAUUUAAUUAACUAAAAUUAAUUUAUCAAGAAAAUUUGAUCAUUAAUCACAUAGGACUUAAUUAAUCAUCUUGACUAUGGGAUCUUUAUGUACUCCACAUAUUUAUAAAUUUAAAAGUGAUUUUGACCCAAAAAGAACUAUAUAAAUUCAAAUAUUUGGUAGGUAUAGCCAGAAAGAGAAAAAGAACAUUAUUGGACGAUUAAAGUGAAACACUAAACCGGCAAAACCAUUAUAGACUACUCUGAAAAGUUCAUACCUACCCUCCUAUACCAACCAGAAGCAAAUAUGAAUCAAUAAUGAAUAGCAUAGAGAUUGUAAAUCCAUUUAUGGCUACAAAGCUUAAAAAUCUAAAAGACAUUUUACCACCCAACCCAUAUUAGAUUUUAGUAGAGAUAAGGGCUGCAUAGGAAGUACCAUACUAUAAUUAUCAAAAUAUGAUCUUUUAUUAGAUUAAAAAGAAUAAUUUCAAAUAGAUAAAAAAUAAUAAUUGGGUGAUGAUAAGUCACACACAAUACAAGUACCGAGUCAAAACAGAAACAUGUAACAAAACUUAUGAAGGAGGGAAGAAACGGUUGAGGUUAAAGGGGAGAGUGUAGAACUCCUAAUUCCUGCUAUCUCCUUUGAAUGUUCUGAACUUAGCCCACCAAGGCAACCCUCUGUCUUUAGCACUCUCUUUGUAAUCCAGAGUAUUGUCCAAGAACACUGCGAUCAUCAGCGCCACCAUUGGU